Molecule: unclassified non-coding RNA, 310 nt
Filed under: plant metagenome
Description: partial contains 5.8S ribosomal RNA, internal transcribed spacer 2, and large subunit ribosomal RNA
Rfam family: 5.8S ribosomal RNA (bases 1-105)
Source: RNAcentral
GAAAUGCGAUAAGUAGUGUGAAUUGCAGAAUUCAGUGAAUCAUCGAAUCUUUGAACGCACAUUGCGCCCCUUGGUAUUCCAUGGGGCAUGCCUGUUCGAGCGUCAUUUGUACCCUCAAGCUCUGCUUGGUGUUGGGUGUUUGUCCCCGUCUCCGCGCGUGGACUCGCCCCAAAGUGAUUGGCAGCCGGCGUACUGGUCCCGGUGCGCAGCACAUGUCGCGCAAACGAGUGCCUUGGUACGGCGGCGUCCAUAAGCCCCUCUCUCACGCUCUUGACCUCGGAUCAGGUAGGGAUACCCGCUGAACUUAAGC